CUCAAGGGGUUACGCGCGAGUACCUCGUGAGGCGACAGCCGAAACAUCGCGUCCUCGAUCCAUCAUCACUCAGGAGGACGUAUG
This 84-nucleotide non-coding RNA is filed under the name unclassified sequences. Its description in RNAcentral is "chrB RNA". It matches the Rfam family "chrB-a RNA". The record is from RNAcentral.